UGAGGAAUAUUGGUCAAUGGGCGAGAGCCUGAACCAGCCAUCCCGCGUGCAGGAAGAAUGCCCUAUGGGUUGUAAACUGCUUUUUCGCAUGAAGAACACCUCUGACGUGUCAGGGGCUGACGGUAAUGCGUGAAUAAGCACCGGCUAACUCCGUGCCAGCAGCCGCGGUAAUACGGAGGGUGCAAGCGUUAUCCGGAUUUAUUGGGUUUAAAGGGUGCGUAGGCGGCUUUUUAAGUCAGUGGUGAAAUCCUGCAGCUCAACUGUAGAACAGCCAUUGAAACUGAAGAGCUUGAGUAAUCUUGAGGUAGGCGGAAUGUGUAGUGUAGCGGUGAAAUGCUUAGAUAUUACACAGAACACCGAUUGCGAAGGCAGCUUACUAAGGAUUUACUGACGCUGAUGCACGAAAGCGUGGGGAUCAAACA
RNAcentral lists this ribosomal RNA (422 nucleotides) under uncultured prokaryote. Its description in RNAcentral is "bacterial SSU rRNA". It matches the Rfam family "Bacterial small subunit ribosomal RNA", at positions 355 to 774 of the family's 1533-position model. The record is from RNAcentral.